RNAcentral lists this ribosomal RNA (861 nucleotides) under Pseudopestalotiopsis sp. RNAcentral describes it as "LSU rRNA". It matches the Rfam family "Eukaryotic large subunit ribosomal RNA", at positions 69 to 955 of the family's 3401-position model. Lineage: Eukaryota; Fungi; Ascomycota; Sordariomycetes; Amphisphaeriales; Sporocadaceae. The record is from RNAcentral.
CAGGGAUUGCCUUAGUAACGGCGAGUGAAGCGGCAACAGCUCAAAUUUGAAAUCUGGCCCUUGGGUCCGAAUUGUAAUUUGUAGAGGAUGAUUUUGGUGCGGUAUCUUCCGAGUUCCUUGGAACAGGACGCCUUAGAGGGUGAGAGCCCCGUACGGUUGAAUGCCUAGCCUCUGUAAAUCUCCUUCGACGAGUCGAGUAGUUUGGGAAUGCUGCUCUAAAUGGGAGGUAAAUUUCUUCUAAAGCUAAAUAUUGGCCAGAGACCGAUAGCGCACAAGUAGAGUGAUCGAAAGAUGAAAAGCACUUUGAAAAGAGGGUUAAAUAGCACGUGAAAUUGUUGAAAGGGAAGGAUUUGUGACCAGACUUUUUCUGGGCGGAUCAUCCGGGGUUCUCUCCGGUGCACUUUGCCCAGUAAAGGCCAGCAUCGGUUUUCGGCGGGGGAUAAAAGCAGUAGGAAUGUGGCUCUCUUCGGGGAGUGUUAUAGCCUAUUGUAUAAUACCCUGCUGGGGACCGAGGUACGCGCUUCUGCAAGGAUGCUGGCGUAAUGGUUAUCAAUCACCCGUCUUGAAACACGGACCAAGGAGUCGAACAUUUGUGCGAGUGUUUGGGUGUUAAACCCUCACGCGUAAUGAAAGUGAACGGAGGUGAGAGCCCUUACGGGUGCAUCAUCGACCGAUCCUGAAGUUUUCGGAUGGAUUUGAGUAAGAGCAUAACUGUUCGGACCCGAAAGAUGGUGAACUAUGCGUGGAUAGGGUGAAGCCAGAGGAAACUCUGGUGGAGGCUCGCAGCGGUUCUGACGUGCAAAUCGAUCGUCAAAUCUGCGCAUGGGGGCGAAAGACUAAUCGAACCAUCUAGUAGCUGGU